AUUGAACGCUGGCGGCAUGCUUUACACAUGCAAGUCGAACGGCAGCGCGGGCUUCGGCCUGGCGGCGAGUGGCGAACGGGUGAGUAAUGCAUCGGAACGUGCCCAGUAGUGGGGGAUAGCCCGGCGAAAGCCGGAUUAAUACCGCAUACGACCUGAGGGUGAAAGCGGGGGACCGAAAGGCCUCGCGCUAUUGGAGCGGCCGAUGUCGGAUUAGCUAGUUGGUGGGGUAAAGGCUUACCAAGGCGACGAUCCGUAGCUGGUCUGAGAGGACGACCAGCCACACUGGGACUGAGACACGGCCCAGACUCAUACGGGAGGCAGCAGUGGGGAAUUUUGGACAAUGGGGGCAACCCUGAUCCAGCCAUGCCGCGUGCGGGAAGAAGGCCUUCGGGUUGUAAACCGCUUUUGUUCGGGAAGAAAUCCUCUGGGCUAAUACCCCGGGGGGAUGACGGUACCGGAAGAAUAAGCACCGGCUAACUACGUG
This 484-nucleotide ribosomal RNA is filed under the name uncultured bacterium. RNAcentral describes it as "partial 16S ribosomal RNA". It matches the Rfam family "Bacterial small subunit ribosomal RNA", at positions 29 to 507 of the family's 1533-position model. The record is from RNAcentral.